ACAAAUUCAACUAAAAUAAUUCAUUUAAACAAUUUAGGCGAUCGCAACUUUUGGAAAGAAUUUGAAUUCUGGAAGUGGAAGUAACUUCAUGGCAGUUUAAAAGAUGGCGGACCUAUCGAUUAAAAUUGCACAAAACCGAAGAGAAGCGCGUAGUACCUACACCUGCUCUUCAAAAUGGUUCAUGAACCAGUAAUCGAUACCUCGGCCUCCUGUCACAUUUCUCCUCCACGAAAAACUCUGUUCCGGCGGCUACACAGAACGGUUGAAGUCGAUGGACUUAUCACGAUUGCUGUAGACAGAGCAUUGUCGUGAUGUGAGAUGUGUGGCCUAACAGUAGGGGUAAAGGAAAAAAGAAAAGGUCAACGGACACCACUGACGGAAGGAGCGGAGUUGGGAUGCUGACGCUGAGGGGGAAGAGUACUGCCCAAACGUCAACCUGCGAUGAUUUUUUGGAAUAAUACAAUGGGGCAUGUGCUUCACAUGGUUCCAUCGUAACCAGUGCAGAACAAGACGAAAGUAGUACACAAAAAGCAAGAUACCAAGACAAUGUUGUUGUAGCGUUCAUCUCCUUUUUGAUCGUCUCCAUGUCCUCCCUAUACCGAUCCAUCCAGUUUCGCAACUCCUUAUUGGACGUGGCGAGCAGAGCUCGUAGUUUUUGGCCGGCGGCGGAACUUUCGUUUUUCAAAAUCUGCUUGGCCUCCGCUAGAGCGCUUACGGCUUCCUCAACCAGCAAAACCAUCUGCUUCUUGUCCUCCACGUGCCACUUCCGUUUAACGUAGAACGCGUUGGCCAAGAAAAGCUCGUGGUAUAAAACUCCUGAAUACAACGUUAACCUGCAAACAACUAAAAUAAGCUAGCGCUUCAUAGAACUUACCACCGACCUGGCGUUACCCGGAUCCACUGUUUUUGUGACCUCGAUUAGCUCCCGACACAUUUCCGACUUCUUAAUAAGUAACUCGUCGCUUAUCUGGUUCGGUAAGUAGCCCUGUUGGUAACCGUAUAAUUGUAACAGUGAAUGUUUAACGGAGUAGAUAUGGUAGUGGUGGGGAUGUAGGAAGGUAAGGAUCUUCGUUAGGAGUUCCCUCAUUUCCUUCACGGUCGGAUUGCUGAGUUGGACGUAAUCGACUUCCUCGCCAAUUUUGUUAACGAGAUAGGCGACUUCAUCGUUUGUAAGUUUAACCUCGCACUUAUCACAGGCCCAUUCUGUAUUCGGAUCGCAGGGAUUUAUUGCAAGUUGGUUGCCUCCGCAGGGUCUGUCAUCGACUCCAAUACAUUUAAGCGCACUGAGGUAAGUUCCAAGUUCAGUUGGGUCUUUACAUCGGCGACAGUUGCACGAGAAGUAUUUGGUUUCUUUCAAGUGUUCCCUGCGGGCCUGCGUACCCCAAAGGGCGUGCGUGUACAUUGUUGAUAUAUGUUCACCUUUUUUUAUGGGUACCGCUGCUCUUACAGUAAUUUUAUAGUUCUGUGAUGCAUCAUCGAAGACGUGGUACGUGUU
Long non-coding RNA from Photinus pyralis (common eastern firefly), 1495 nucleotides. RefSeq lists it as uncharacterized. The transcript is spliced from 3 exons. Lineage: Eukaryota; Metazoa; Arthropoda; Insecta; Coleoptera; Lampyridae. The record is from RefSeq and is a predicted model, not a curated record.